GGACAGAUGGCCGAGUGGUCUAAGGCGCCGUCUUAAGGAGCUCGCCCGGACGUCGCUGGCGUUCAGGUGGUAGUCCGGCGGUCUUCGGGCGUGGGUUCGAAUCCCACUCUGUUCA
Molecule: transfer RNA, 115 nt
Filed under: Puccinia graminis f. sp. tritici
Lineage: Eukaryota; Fungi; Basidiomycota; Pucciniomycetes; Pucciniales; Pucciniaceae
Rfam family: tRNA
About the family: Transfer RNA (tRNA) molecules are approximately 80 nucleotides in length. Their secondary structure includes four short double-helical elements and three loops (D, anti-codon, and T loops).
Source: Rfam by way of RNAcentral